RNAcentral lists this transfer RNA (73 nucleotides) under Ganoderma lucidum Xiangnong No.1. RNAcentral describes it as "tRNA-Arg (TCT) (tRNA-Arg-TCT-2-1)". It matches the Rfam family "tRNA". From Rfam's summary of the family: Transfer RNA (tRNA) molecules are approximately 80 nucleotides in length. Their secondary structure includes four short double-helical elements and three loops (D, anti-codon, and T loops). Further hydrogen bonds mediate the characteristic L-shaped molecular structure. tRNAs have two regions of fundamental functional importance: the anti-codon, which is responsible for specific mRNA codon recognition, and the 3' end, to which the tRNAs corresponding amino acid is attached (by aminoacyl-tRNA synthetases). tRNAs cope with the degeneracy of the genetic code in two manners: having more than one tRNA (with a specific anti-codon) for a particular amino acid; and 'wobble' base-pairing, i.e. permitting non-standard base-pairing at the 3rd anti-codon position. Lineage: Eukaryota; Fungi; Basidiomycota; Agaricomycetes; Polyporales; Polyporaceae. The record is from RNAcentral.
GCCCUCGUCGUCUAAUGGUUAGGACGCCAGACUUCUAAUCUGGCGGUUGCGGGUUCAAGUCCCGCCGAGGGUA